UUUCCGUAGGUGAACCUGCGGAAGGAUCAUUAUUGGAUUUUGAAACUUCAGGCUGCUGCUGGCUCUCCUCGGAGGGCAUGUGCACGCUUGUUGUCCAUUAUUUCUCCCACUGUGCACAAAUUGUAGACCUUUCAGUAGGCCUAUGUUGUUUUUCACAAUCUCUGAAUGUAAUAGAAUGGUUUUGAAUCUUGGGAAAUACAAUAUAACUUUCAACAACGGAUCUCUUGGCUCUCGCAUCAAUGAAGAACGCAGC
RNAcentral lists this unclassified non-coding RNA (253 nucleotides) under plant metagenome. RNAcentral's name for it is "partial contains small subunit ribosomal RNA, internal transcribed spacer 1, and 5.8S ribosomal RNA". The stretch from base 205 to 253 matches the Rfam family "5.8S ribosomal RNA", at positions 1 to 49 of the family's 154-position model. The record is from RNAcentral.